UUGCAGCAAUGCAAGGCAGACGGCUCAGUAACGCGUAGUCAACCUAACCUAUGGACGGGAAUAGCCUCGGGAAACUGAGUAUAAUGCCCGAUAGAACACUAUACCUGGAAUGGUUUGUGUUCCAAAUGAUUUAUCGCCGUAGGAUGGGACUGCGGCCUAUCAGUUUGUUGGUGAGGUAAUGGCCCACCAAGACUAUUACAGGUACGGGCUCUGAGAGGAGUAGCCCGGAGAUGGGUACUGAGACACGGACCCAGGCCCUAUGGGGCGCAGCAGGCGAGAAAACUUUGCAAUGUGCGAAAGCACGACAAGGUUAAUCCGAGUGGUUUCUGCUAAAGGAACCUUUUGUCAGUCCUAGAAACACUGACGAAUAAGGGGUGGGCAAGUUCUGGUGUCAGCCGCCGCGGUAAAACCAGCACCUCAAGUGGUCAGGAUGAUUAUUGGGCCUAAGCAUCCGUAGCCGGCUCUGUAAGUUUUCGGUUAAAUCUGUACGCUCAACGUACAGGCUGCCGGGAAUACUGCAGAGCUAGGGAGUGGGAGAGGUAGACGGUACUCGGGAGGAAGUGGUAAAAUGCUUUGAUCUCUCGAUGACCACCUGUGGCGAAGGCGGUCUACCAGAGCACGUCCGACGGUGAGGGAUGAAAGCUGGGGGAGCAAACCGGAUUAGAUACCCGGGUAGUCCCAGCUGUAAACUAUGCAAACUCGGUGAUGCAUUGGCUUGUGGCCAAUGCA
This 729-nucleotide ribosomal RNA is filed under the name uncultured archaeon. Its description in RNAcentral is "bacterial SSU rRNA". It matches the Rfam family "Archaeal small subunit ribosomal RNA", at positions 62 to 797 of the family's 1478-position model. The record is from RNAcentral.